Molecule: ribosomal RNA, 254 nt
Filed under: uncultured bacterium
Lineage: Bacteria
Description: partial 16S ribosomal RNA
Rfam family: Bacterial small subunit ribosomal RNA
Source: RNAcentral
UACGUAGGCAGCAAGCGUUGUUCGGAGUUACUGGGCGUAAAGGGUGUGUAGGCGGUUCUUUUAAGUUUGGUGUGAAAUCUCCCGGCUCAACCGGGAGGGUGCGCCGAAUACUGAGGGACUCGAGUGCGGGAGAGGAGAGUGGAAUUCCUGGUGUAGCGGUGAAAUGCGCAGAUAUCAGGAAGAACACCCGUGGCUAAGGCGGCUCUCUAGUACGGUACUGACGCUGAGACGCGAAAGCGUGGGGAGCGAACAGG